Molecule: ribosomal RNA, 441 nt
Filed under: uncultured Stenotrophomonas sp.
Lineage: Bacteria; Pseudomonadati; Pseudomonadota; Gammaproteobacteria; Lysobacterales; Lysobacteraceae
Description: bacterial SSU rRNA
Rfam family: Bacterial small subunit ribosomal RNA
Source: RNAcentral
CAGCAGUGGGGAAUAUUGGACAAUGGGCGCAAGCCUGAUCCAGCCAUACCGCGUGGGUGAAGAAGGCCUUCGGGUUGUAAAGCCCUUUUGUUGGGAAAGAAAUCCAUCUGGUUAAUACCCGGGUGGGAUGACGGUACCCAAAGAAUAAGCACCGGCUAACUUCGUGCCAGCAGCCGCGGUAAUACGAAGGGUGCAAGCGUUACUCGGAAUUACUGGGCGUAAAGCGUGCGUAGGUGGUCGUUUAAGUCCGUUGUGAAAGCCCUGGGCUCAACCUGGGAACUGCAGUGGAUACUGGGCGACUAGAAUGUGGUAGAGGGUAGCGGAAUUCCUGGUGUAGCAGUGAAAUGCGUAGAGAUCAGGAGGAACAUCCAUGGCGAAGGCAGCUACCUGGACCAACAUUGACACUGAGGCACGAAAGCGUGGGGAGCAAACAGGAUUAGA